RNAcentral lists this unclassified non-coding RNA (332 nucleotides) under soil metagenome. Its description in RNAcentral is "partial contains 5.8S ribosomal RNA, internal transcribed spacer 2, and large subunit ribosomal RNA". The stretch from base 1 to 120 matches the Rfam family "5.8S ribosomal RNA", at positions 35 to 154 of the family's 154-position model. The record is from RNAcentral.
GAUGAAGAACGUAGCGAAAUGCGAUAAGUAGUGUGAAUUUCAGAAUUCAGUGAAUCAUCGAAUCUUUGAACGCACAUUGCGCCCUUUGGUAUUCCUUAGGGCAUGCCUGUUCGAGCGUCAUUUAAACCUUCAAGCUCAGCUUGGUGUUGGGUGACUGUCCGCUUCACCGCGGACUCGCCUCAAAAUUAUUGGCGGCCGGUACAUUGGCUUCGAGCGCAGCAGAAACGCGAACUCGGGCCCGUCGUAUUGGCUCCCAGAAGCUAUCUUCACAAUUUUGACCUCGGAUCAGGUAGGGAUACCCGCUGAACUUAAGCAUAUCAAUAAGCGGAGGA